GAGUUUGAUCGUGGCUCAGAUUGAACGCUGGCGGCAUGCUUUACACAUGCAAGUCGAACGGCAGCGCGGGGGCAACCUGGCGGCGAGUGGCGAACGGGUGAGUAAUAUAUCGGAACGUACCCAAGAGUGGGGGAUAACGUAGCGAAAGUUACGCUAAUACCGCAUACGAUCUAAGGAUGAAAGCAGGGGAUCUUCGGACCUUGUGCUCCUGGAGCGGCCGAUAUCUGAUUAGCUAGUUGGUGAGGUAAAGGCUCACCAAGGCCACGAUCAGUAGCUGGUCUGAGAGGACGACCAGCCACACUGGAACUGAGACACGGUCCAGACUCCUACGGGAGGCAGCAGUGGGGAAUUUUGGACAAUGGGCGAAAGCCUGAUCCAGCAAUGCCGCGUGAGUGGAGAAGGCCU
Molecule: ribosomal RNA, 405 nt
Filed under: uncultured bacterium
Lineage: Bacteria
Description: bacterial SSU rRNA
Rfam family: Bacterial small subunit ribosomal RNA
Source: RNAcentral